This 468-nucleotide ribosomal RNA is filed under the name uncultured bacterium. Its description in RNAcentral is "partial 16S ribosomal RNA". It matches the Rfam family "Bacterial small subunit ribosomal RNA", at positions 28 to 507 of the family's 1533-position model. The record is from RNAcentral.
GACGAACGCUGGCGGCGUGCUUAACACAUGCAAGUCGAACGGAAAGGCCCUGCUUUUGUGGGGUGCUCGAGUGGCGAACGGGUGAGUAACACGUGAGUAACCUGCCCUUGACUUUGGGAUAACUUCAGGAAACUGGGGCUAAUACCGGAUAGGAGCUCUUGCUGCAUGGUGGGGGUUGGAAAGUUUCGGCGGUUGGGGAUGGACUCGCGGCUUAUCAGCUUGUUGGUGGGGUAGUGGCUUACCAAGGCUUUGACGGGUAGCCGGCCUGAGAGGGUGGCCGGACACAUUGGGCCUGAGAUACGGCCCAGAAGCCUACGGGAGGCAGCAGUGGGGAAUAUUGCACAAUGGGCGGGAGCCUGAUGCGGCAACGCCGCGUGCGGGAUGACGGCCUUCGGGUUGUAAACCGCUUUCGCCCGUGACGAAGCGUGAGUGACGGUAAUGGGUAAAGAAGCACCGGCUAACUACGUG